Molecule: ribosomal RNA, 465 nt
Filed under: uncultured bacterium
Lineage: Bacteria
Description: partial 16S ribosomal RNA
Rfam family: Bacterial small subunit ribosomal RNA
Source: RNAcentral
GACGAACGCUGGCGGCGUGCUUAACACAUGCAAGUCGAACGGAAAGGCCCUGCUUGCAGGGUACUCGAGUGGUGAACGGGUGAGUAACACGUGGGUGAUCUGCCCUGCACUUCGGGAUAAGCCUGGGAAACUGGGUCUAAUACCGGAUAUGACCUUCCAUGUAGUGUGGGGGGUGGAAAGAUUUAUCGGUGUGGGAUGAGCCCGCGGCCUAUCAGCUUGUUGGUGGGGUAAUGGCCUACCAAGGCGUCGACGGGUAGCCGGCCUGAGAGGGUGGACGGCCACAUUGGGACUGAGAUACGGCCCAGACUCCUACGGGAGGCAGCAGUGGGGAAUAUUGCACAAUGGGCGGAAGCCUUAUGCAGCGACGCCGCGUGGGGGAUGACGGCCUUCGGGUUGUAAACCUCUUUCGACAGGGACGAAGCUUCGGUGACGGUACCUGUAGAAGAAGCACCGGCUAACUACGUG